UGGCUCAGGAACCGACGCUGGCGGCGUGCCUAAUACAUGCAAGUCGAACGCUUCUUUUUCCACCGGAGCUUGCUCCACCGGAAAAAGAGGAGUGGCGAACGGGUGAGUAACACGUGGGUAACCUGCCCAUCAGAAGGGGAUAACACUUGGAAACAGGUGCUAAUACCGUAUAACAAUCGAAACCGCAUGGUUUUGAUUUGAAAGGCGCUUUCGGGUGUCGCUGAUGGAUGGACCCGCGGUGCAUUAGCUAGUUGGUGAGGUAACGGCUCACCAAGGCCACGAUGCAUAGCCGACCUGAGAGGGUGAUCGGCCACAUGGACUGAGACACGCCC
RNAcentral lists this ribosomal RNA (332 nucleotides) under Enterococcus faecium. RNAcentral's name for it is "bacterial SSU rRNA". It matches the Rfam family "Bacterial small subunit ribosomal RNA", at positions 20 to 331 of the family's 1533-position model. Lineage: Bacteria; Bacillati; Bacillota; Bacilli; Lactobacillales; Enterococcaceae. The record is from RNAcentral.